RNAcentral lists this ribosomal RNA (1347 nucleotides) under metagenome. Its description in RNAcentral is "SSU rRNA". It matches the Rfam family "Eukaryotic small subunit ribosomal RNA", at positions 323 to 1801 of the family's 1831-position model. The record is from RNAcentral.
CGAUGGUUGUGUAGUGGACAACCAUGGCCAUAACGGGUAACGGAGAAUCAGGGUUCGAUUCCGGAGAAGGAGCUUGAGAAUUGGCUACUACAUCUAAGGAAGGCAGCAGGCGCGCAAUUACCCAAUCCCGAUUCGGGGAGGUAGUGACAAAAAAUAACAAUACCGGGCCUUUUUGGGCUUGGUAAUUGGAAUGAGGGAGAGUUAAACGGACCAUCGAGUAUCCAUUGGAGGGCAAGUCUGGUGCCAGCAGCUGCGGUAAUACCAGCUCCAAUAGCGUAUAUUAAAGUUGUUGCAGUUAAAAAGCUCGGUUACUGUGAGAAAAUUAGAGUGUCCAAGGCAGGCAUUGGGUGCAAUUGAAUACAUUAGCAUGGAAUAAUAAAAUAUGGCUCCUGCCGUAUUUUGUUGGUUUUGACUGGUGGGAGUAAUGAUUGAUAGGGACGGUUGGGGGUGCUAGUAUUGAGCGGCCAGAGGUGAAAUUCAUGGAUUCGCUCAAGACUAACUUAUGCGAAAGCAUUCACCAAGGACGUCCUCUUUAAUCAAGAACGAAAGUUGGGGGAUCGAAGACGAUCAGAUACCGUCGUAGUCUCAACCAUAAACUAUGUCGACUUGGGAUCGGCGGUAGUUUUUUCAUUAAGACACUGUCGGGACCACGGGAGAAAUCAAAGUGUCUGGACUCUGGGGGAAGUAUGGUCGCAAGGCUGAAACUUGAAGGAAUUGACGGAAGGGCACCACCAGGAGUGGAGCCUGCGGCUUAAUUUGACCCAACACGGGGAACCUUACCAGGUCCAGAGAUGUAGAGGAUUGACAGAUUGAAGCUCUUUCUUGAUCACUUCGGUGGUGGUGCAUGGCCGUUCUUAGUUGGUGGAGUGAUUUGUCUGGUUAAUUCCGUUAACGAACGAGACCUCAGCCUGCUAGUGUAGUCGGCUGGAUUGCCUUUGGCGAUCCGUGAUUUCGACUUCUUAGAGGGACAAUCGACGCGCAGUCGAUGGAAGUUUGAGGCAAUAACAGGUCUGUGAUGCCCUUAGAUGUUCUGGGCCGCACGCGCGCUACACUGCUGGGCUCAGCGAGUUUUACUUGGCCGAGAGGCCCGGUUAAUCUUGUGAAAUCCCAGCGUGCUUGGGCUCGCCUCCUGCAACUGGAGGCGCCAACGAGGAAUUCCUAGUAGACGCAGGUCAUCAACCUGCAUCGAUUACGUCCCUGCCCUUUGUACACACCGCCCGUCGUUCCAUAAGAGUGAGGCAUCCGGUGAAUUCUCGGGAGAGCCUGGGCGUGGCCAGCAAUGGUCUGCUCGGGUUUGAACUUGCAUAAACUUGGUGCCUAUGAUUAGGGAAAAGUCGUAACAAGGUU